CUUCUUCAAACCAAGCCAAAACAAAAGAUAUACAUGCUGCCAGUAAUAAAAUCCUAACUAGCAAGUCUUCAAACUGCUCAAUCACAAGUUCCAGCAAGGUUUUUCCUUCUUCAGCCGGUAACUCGUUGGAGCCCCAUCUCUCCUUAAGCUUCUUGACCUGUUCCAGGCUCAGCCCCGUACUCUCGUUGACGCCGAAGUGGCCCAGCACCUCCUCCACCGUCUUGGUGUGCGCGUUCUCCAUGGCUUCGGGGGCCCGGCCGGCCUCGCCUCCCGUCCCCGCGGCCUCCUCGCCUCCGCCUCGCACUCCGGCCGCGGGCUCGUGCCACCCCGGGAGCCCAGGCGCGGACGGGCUCUCCCCUCCUCCUCUUGCGGCCGCUUCCGCCUCGCCGGGCGCUGAAUCACCCCGCGCCCCCUCCCCCAGACAACCGCCCCUCGCGCGGCCCCGAGCUCCGCAGGGCGGGUUGGGGGCUCCUGACCCACCCUCCCUCCCCUCGCCAGAAGGGAGGGCCUCCCUCGCCCUCAGCCGCCCGCCGGGAGGGCAGGCCGCGGCCCCCGAGCCCCCUCCCCGCUCUCUUGAGGCGAUCAGAGGCCCCGCCCGGGCCGGAGGAGGGGGCGCCCGGCAGACCACUGAGGGCGGAACGCGGCGAGGGAGGCGAGCCGGCGGGGCGGUGCGCGGCGCGCUCGCCCGGGUCCCUCAGCGCCGCACGCCCGACAGCGGCGGAG
RNAcentral lists this long non-coding RNA (723 nucleotides) under Homo sapiens (human). RNAcentral describes it as "LNC_000966". Lineage: Eukaryota; Metazoa; Chordata; Mammalia; Primates; Hominidae. The record is from RNAcentral.